AUUGAACGCUGGCGGCAGGCCUAACACAUGCAAGUCGAGCGGAUGAAGGGAGCUUGCUCCUGGAUUCAGCGGCGGACGGGUGAGUAAUGCCUAGGAAUCUGCCUGGUAGUGGGGGAUAACGUCCGGAAACGGGCGCUAAUACCGCAUACGUCCUGAGGGAGAAAGUGGGGGAUCUUCGGACCUCACGCUAUCAGAUGAGCCUAGGUCGGAUUAGCUAGUUGGUGGGGUAAAGGCCUACCAAGGCGACGAUCCGUAACUGGUCUGAGAGGAUGAUCAGUCACACUGGAACUGAGACGCGGUCCAGAGUCCUACGGGAGGCAGCAGUGGGGAAUACUGGACGAUGGGCGAAAGCCUGCUCCAGCCAUGCCGCGUGUGUGAAGAAGGUCUUCGGAUUGUAAAGCACUUUAAGUUGGGAGGACGGGCAGUAAGUUAAUACCUUGCUGUUUUGACGUUACCAACAGAAUAAGCACCGGCUAACUUCGUG
RNAcentral lists this ribosomal RNA (484 nucleotides) under uncultured bacterium. RNAcentral's name for it is "partial 16S ribosomal RNA". It matches the Rfam family "Bacterial small subunit ribosomal RNA", at positions 30 to 507 of the family's 1533-position model. The record is from RNAcentral.